GACGAACGCUGGCGGCGUGCUUAACACAUGCAAGUCGAACGGUGAAGGGACUGGUUUUGCUGGUCCUGGAUGAGUGGCGAACGGGUGAGUAACACGUGAGUAACCUGCCCCCUUCUUCUGGAUAACCGCAUGAAAGUGUGGCUAAUACGGGAUAUUCUGGGUCUGUCGCAUGGUGGGCCUGGGAAAGAUUGCGCCUUUUUUGGUGUUUUUGGUGGGGGAUGGGCUCGCGGCCUAUCAGCUUGUUGGUGGGGUGAUGGCCUACCAAGGCGGUGACGGGUAGCCGGCCUGAGAGGGUGGACGGUCACACUGGGACUGAGACACGGCCCAGACUCCUACGGGAGGCAGCAGUGGGGAAUAUUGCACAAUGGGCGCAAGCCUGAUGCAGCGACGCCGCGUGAGGGAUGGAGGCCUUCGGGUUGUGAACCUCUUUCGCCAGUGAAGCAGGCCUGCCUCUUUUUGUGGGUGGGUUGACGGUAGCUGGAUAAGAAGCGCCGGCUAUCUACGUG
This 506-nucleotide ribosomal RNA is filed under the name uncultured bacterium. RNAcentral describes it as "partial 16S ribosomal RNA". It matches the Rfam family "Bacterial small subunit ribosomal RNA", at positions 28 to 507 of the family's 1533-position model. The record is from RNAcentral.